This 509-nucleotide ribosomal RNA is filed under the name uncultured Desulfobulbus sp. Its description in RNAcentral is "bacterial SSU rRNA". It matches the Rfam family "Bacterial small subunit ribosomal RNA", at positions 903 to 1382 of the family's 1533-position model. The record is from RNAcentral. Lineage: Bacteria; Pseudomonadati; Thermodesulfobacteriota; Desulfobulbia; Desulfobulbales; Desulfobulbaceae.
UUGCCACGCCCGCUCAGAAACUACAAAGGAAUUGACGGGGGCCCGCACAAGCGGUGGAGUAUGUGGUUUAAUUCGAUGCAACGCGAAGAACCUUACCUGGUCUUGACAUCCCGGAGACCCUUAGGAAACUAGGGGGUGCUUCCAUCUGGAAGAAUCUGGAGACAGGUGCUGCAUGGCUGUCGUCAGCUCGUGUCGUGAGAUGUUGGGUUAAGUCCCGCAACGAGCGCAACCCUUGCCUUUAGUUGCCAGCAGUUCGGCUGGGCACUCUAAAGGGACUGCCGGUGUUAAACCGGAGGAAGGUGGGGAUGACGUCAAGUCCUCAUGGCCUUUAUGGCCUGGGCUACACACGUGCUACAAUGGUCGGUACAAAGGGUUGCCAAGCCGCGAGGUGGAGCUAAUCCCAUAAAACCGAUCGUAGUCCGGAUCGCAGUCUGCAACUCGACUGCGUGAAGUCGGAAUCGCUAGUAAUCGUGAAUCAGAAUGUCACGGUGAAUACGUUCCCGGGCCUU